GCAGUCGAACGGUAACAGGCCGCUGGGAUCCCUUCGGGGUGACCUUGGCGCUGACGAGUGGCGGACGGGUGAGUAAUGCUUGGGAAUUUGCCUAGUAGUGGGGGACAACACGGGGAAACUCGUGCUAAUACCGCAUACGCCCUACGGGGGAAAGCGGGGGAUCUUCGGACCUCGCGCUAUUAGAUGAGCCCAAGUCCGAUUAGCUUGUUGGUGAGGUAAAGGCUCACCAAGGCGACGAUCGGUAGCUGGUCUGAGAGGACGACCAGCCACACUGGGACUGAGACACGGCCCAGACUCCUACGGGAGGCAGCAGUGGGGAAUAUUGCACAAUGGGCGCAAGCCUGAUGCAGCAAUGCCGCGUGUGUGAAGAAGGCCUGCGGGUUGUAAAGCACUUUCAGUAGAGAAGAAAAGCCUGGGGUUAAUACCCCCGAGUCUUGACAUUAACUACAGAAGAAGCACCGGCUAACUCCGUGCCAGCAGCCGCGGUAAU
This 490-nucleotide ribosomal RNA is filed under the name uncultured Gammaproteobacteria bacterium. RNAcentral describes it as "bacterial SSU rRNA". It matches the Rfam family "Bacterial small subunit ribosomal RNA", at positions 57 to 524 of the family's 1533-position model. The record is from RNAcentral. Lineage: Bacteria; Pseudomonadati; Pseudomonadota; Gammaproteobacteria.